RNAcentral lists this ribosomal RNA (440 nucleotides) under uncultured bacterium. Its description in RNAcentral is "partial 16S ribosomal RNA". It matches the Rfam family "Bacterial small subunit ribosomal RNA", at positions 338 to 795 of the family's 1533-position model. The record is from RNAcentral.
CCUACGGGAGGCAGCAGUGGGGAAUAUUGCACAAUGGGGGAAACCCUGAUGCAGCGACGCCGCGUGAGUGAAGAAGGAUUUCGGUAUGUAAAGCUCUGUUAGCAGGGAAGAAAAUGACGGUACCUGACCUAGAAGCACCGGCUAACUAUGGGCCAGCAGCCGCGGUAAUACGUAGGGGGCAAGAGUUAUCCGGAUUUUCUGGGUGUAAAGGGAGCGUAGACGGGAAGGCAAGUCUGGAGUGAAAGGCGGGGGCUCAACCCCCGGACUGCUCUUGAAACUGUCAGGCUUGAGUGCAGGAGAGGUAAGUGGAAUUCCUUGUGUAGCGGUGAAAUGCGUAGAUAUUAGGAAGAACACCAGUGGCGAAGGCGGCUGACUGGACUGUAACUGACGUUGAGGCUCGAAAGCGUGGGGAGCAAACAGGAUUAGAUACCCUUGUAGUC